This 490-nucleotide ribosomal RNA is filed under the name uncultured bacterium. RNAcentral describes it as "partial 16S ribosomal RNA". It matches the Rfam family "Bacterial small subunit ribosomal RNA", at positions 30 to 507 of the family's 1533-position model. The record is from RNAcentral.
AUUGAACGCUGGCGGCAGGCCUAACACAUGCAAGUCGAACGGUAACAGGAAGCAGCUUGCUGCUUUGCUGACGAGUGGCGGACGUGUGAGUAAUGUCUGGGAAACUGCCCGAUGGAGGGGGAUAACUACUGGAAACGGUAGCUAAUACCGCAUAACGUCGCAAGACCAAAGAGGGGGACCUUAGGGCCUCUUGCCAUCGGCUGUGCCCAGAUGGGAUUAGCUAGUAGGUGGGGUAACGGCUCACCUAGGCGACGAUCCCUAGCUGGUCUGAGAGGAUGACCAGCCACACUGGAACUGAGACACGGUCCAGACUCCUACGGGAGGCAGCAGUGGGGAAUAUUGCACAAUGGGCGCAAGCCUGAUGCAGCCAUGCCGCGUGUAUGAAGAAGGCCUUCGGGUUGUAAAGUACUUUCAGCGGGGAGGAAGGGAGUAAAGUUAAUACCUUUGCUCAUUGACGUUACCCGCAGAAGAAGCACCGGCUAACUCCGUG